Molecule: transfer RNA, 73 nt
Filed under: Rubrobacter sp.
Lineage: Bacteria; Bacillati; Actinomycetota; Rubrobacteria; Rubrobacterales; Rubrobacteraceae
Description: tRNA-Ala
Rfam family: tRNA
About the family: Transfer RNA (tRNA) molecules are approximately 80 nucleotides in length. Their secondary structure includes four short double-helical elements and three loops (D, anti-codon, and T loops).
Source: RNAcentral
GGGGCCUUAGCUCAGUUGGGAGAGCGCCACGCUGGCAGCGUGGAGGUCGCGGGUUCGAGCCCCGCAGGCUCCA